This 506-nucleotide ribosomal RNA is filed under the name uncultured bacterium. RNAcentral's name for it is "partial 16S ribosomal RNA". It matches the Rfam family "Bacterial small subunit ribosomal RNA", at positions 29 to 523 of the family's 1533-position model. The record is from RNAcentral.
AUUGAACGCUGGCGGCAGGCCUAACACAUGCAAGUCGGACGGUAGCACAGAGGAGCUUGCUCCUCGGGUGACGAGUGGCAGACGGGUGAGUAAUGUCUGGGGAUCUGCCCGAUAGAGGGGGAUAACCACUGGAAACGGUGGCUAAUACCGCAUAACGUCGCAAGACCAAAGAGGGGGACCUUCGGGCCUCUCACUAUCGGAUGAACCCAGAUGGGAUUAGCUAGUAGGCGGGGUAACGGCCCACCUAGGCGACGAUCCCUAGCUGGUCUGAGAGGAUGAACCGCCACACUGGAACUGAGACACGGUCCAGACUCCUACGGGAGGCAGCAGGGGGGAAUAUUGCACAAUGGGCGCAAGCCUGAUGCAGCCAUGCCGCGUGUAUGAAGAAGGCCUUCGGGUUGUAAAGUACUUUCAGCGGGGAGGAAGGCGAUAAGGUUAAUAACCUUGUCGAUUGACGUUACCUGCAGAAGAAGCACCGGCUAACUCCGUGCCAGCAGCCGCAGUAA